GACGAACGCUGGCGGCGUGCUUAACACAUGCAAGUCGAACGGAAAGGCCCUGCUUUUGUGGGGUGCUCGAGUGGCGAACGGGUGAGUAACACGUGAGUAACCUGCCCUUGACUUUGGGAUAACUUCAGGAAACUGGGGCUAAUACGGGAAAGGAGCUCCUGCUGCAUGGGGGGGGUUGGAAGGUUUCGGCGGUUGGGGAUGGACUCGCGGCUAAUCAGCUUGUGGGUGGGGUAGUGGCUUACCAAGGCUUUGACGGGUAGCCGGCCUGAGAGGGUGACCGGCCACAUUGGGACUGAGAUACGGCCCAGACUCCUACGGGAGGCAGCAGUGGGGAAUAUUGCACAAUGGGCGGAAGCCUGAUGCAGCAACGCCGCGUGCGGGAUGACGGCCUUCGGGUUGUAAACCGCUUUCGCCUGUGACGAAGCGUGAGUGACGGUAAUGGGUAAAGAAGCACCGGCUAACUACGUG
This 468-nucleotide ribosomal RNA is filed under the name uncultured bacterium. RNAcentral describes it as "partial 16S ribosomal RNA". It matches the Rfam family "Bacterial small subunit ribosomal RNA", at positions 28 to 507 of the family's 1533-position model. The record is from RNAcentral.